AGUUCAUGUUACCUGAUUCAUGUUUCUAUGUUAAAAAGCUCAUUGUACUUUGUUUUAUCUCAUCAAGAAGACGACGAAGACCUUUUCUCUGCAUUGAAAUGACGUAAUCCUCAAGGAACCACCUGUGAUGGACUUCAUUUGAGCUUUCCCAGAUGGAGGAGGAAUUUCCUCCUUGUCAUCCUGCAUUUUGCCCGAAGAGAAGCUGUGAUCAGAGGCCUCAUUUUCUACCUUGGUGAGGAGACAGAGGAGUUCAUCAAGGACUACCGAGUACAGAAUACACCUCUGACAUUGCUCUAAGUCAGUGCCCUGCCUGUACAAGACAAGAGGCAUACAGAGAUUGUGGCAGAUCCAGUGGCAUCCAGAGAUGGACCAGCUCCAGCCGGGUUUGGCUUUGUGAGGACUGGGGUAUUCAAAGCAACGCUGCCAACCAUAUGUGGACGACAACAAUCUCUUUAUUCAUUUACACAACACUGUACACAUGCUGUAUCUGCAUCACACAAUUGACUAUACAUGAAUGUAUGCAAAUGAGGAUGGGUUCCCUUUUGAGUCUGGUUCCUCUCAAGGUUUCUUUCUCAUACCAUCUAAGGGAGUUUUUCCUUCCCUCAGGCUUGCUCACUUGGGAUAACAUCUAGGACUGUUUGUCUGUUUCUUGUUUCUUAUGUAAAGCUGCUUUGAGGCAAUGCUCUUUGUUAAAAGCACUAUACAAAUAAAAUUGAAUUGAAUAAGAGUCUUGAUGCACUCUGCCUUACUGAAACCUGGCUUAGACCAAAUGACCACAUUGGUCUGAAUGAGUCUACUCCGUCAGGAUAUUCCGAUAAGCAUGAGCCCCGUCAGACUGGUGGUGGAGGUGGUGUUGCAACUAUCUAUAACAAUUCUCUUACUGUUACUCAGAAAACAGGACCCAGGUUUAACUCUGAAGUGCUUGUCCUUAAUGUAGCACUCACAGACAUGCAUAAUAAAUCCCUGCUAUCUUUUGCUCUGGCCACCGUGUAUAGACCCCCGGGGCCCUACGCUGAUUUUCUUCAAGAGUUUGCACACUUACUCUCAGACCUAUUGAUUCAUUUUGACAAAGUGUUGAUUGUAGGUGACUUGAACAUUCAUGUAGACGAUGCCAAUGAUGCUUUAGGACUCUGGUUCUGGAUUUACCAAAUUCCUUUGGGGUUAAACAAAACAUCACUAGACCAACUCAUCGUUUUAAUCAUAUGCUAGAUUUAAUUAUAUGACAUGGAACAUGUGAGGACAUAAAAAGUACAUAAAAAAAGAAACAUACAAGGUGUGAAUUAAAAAUUUAGAAUUACACAAUCUGAAACACACUAAUAACUGCUUUAUUGUGGAUUUAUUCUGUGCUGAACUUGU
Hemibagrus wyckioides is the source of this 1356-nucleotide long non-coding RNA. RefSeq lists it as uncharacterized. Lineage: Eukaryota; Metazoa; Chordata; Actinopteri; Siluriformes; Bagridae. The record is from RefSeq and is a predicted model, not a curated record. The transcript has 3 exons.